This 2611-nucleotide long non-coding RNA is filed under the name Actinidia chinensis (golden kiwifruit). Its description in RNAcentral is "long non-coding RNA (ACHI_LNC002856)". Lineage: Eukaryota; Viridiplantae; Streptophyta; Magnoliopsida; Ericales; Actinidiaceae. The record is from RNAcentral.
UCAAUGAAAAAAUCCCAAUAGUCUUCCAUUGUUCCUGAAUUAUCAGAAUGGUCUUCAUCAAAUUCAUUUGGAUCUUGGGCUUCUCCUGCUAAGGCUGAGAACUGUCCGAUAGGUAAAAGAACUAAUGUUUCUUAGACUCUUCCUUAACAGAUUUUGAUGAACUUGCUUGUGUGGAUAAAUGUUGAAAAUUCCCCAUGAAUUGACUUUUGAUCAUAUCCAUCACCUUGACCUGGAUUUGGAUAGGAGAAAGAUUUGAUUCUUUCCUCUUAUCUACUAGAGCCUGGAAGAUGUUGGUUGGAAGAGCAGGUUCAGGUAGUUUAGGGUGCCGUGCUUCAUAAACAUUCCUAUACUCAUUUAUGAUAGAUUUGAUUAAAAAAAUUGUUUCCUCUUCAGUUUUGAAAUCCUCCCACCAUUUAAACCAAAAAGUUCUUUGUAAAAAAAAAAAAAAAAAAAAAAAAAAAAAAAAAAAAAGAUUGGGAACAAUUUAGAUAAUCAAAACUGAAUUCUAAAUUCCACUUCACCCGCACAUGUAUUCUGAAUGCAGUGAAGAAAGAAAUUUUUUUUGUUUUUUUGGAGGUUUUUUGUCUGUUUUCCCCUUAGGCCCUUUGAUUAAAUUCAUACCCUUAGGCCUUGGAUGAAACUUCAUACCAAUAAUGGAAUGAAUCCAGGAUGGUUUGGUAAAAUGGUCAUAUCUGGACCACUUUUUCCCACCAAGCUACACCAUCGGAGGAACCUGAAAUUUUAGAAUUUUGGAUUAAGAGAGAAAACUAAAGAAAUGGAUUUUUGGAGGAUUUGAUAGAAAAAGCAAAAUUCCAUGCUUGGAUGUAUCCCGUAUUUGAAUAACGUCUUUUUAGGGAUUAGACAACUUAAACUUUUGGUUUUGCAGGAUCUAAUCCCCUUCCUAAGUGUAGAACCCUGAUGGCAGAACCCUUUGAAUGGGGAUUUUUAAAAUCUUCUGGAUUUAAUGAUUAUGAUGGAUCUGAACAGAUUCGUCUCAACAAGCAUCUUGCUUCAUAGACAUAUCUGAGGCGUCCUUCCCAAACCAUAUAAUUUGAUUCCCAAAUCUCUUUAUUUGAAUAAACCAGGGAUCUUGCUGCCAUUGUAGAUCUUGUGUUUGUAAAGGAACAAUCUUUCUCUACAUGGCUCUUUUGAUGUAAACAACUCGUAGCCAGCCAAUGGCUUCUUUAGCAGUUGUGGACUUAGAUUGCCUGUGGUCUUUGAAUGAACCUUGGAUUGUGCUGAAGAAACCCAGCUUUGGAUAUCAGAAUAAGGAAACUUCUUUUCCUGGAUUUUGAGUGGCCUUAGAACGGCCUUUAACUCUCUGUUGAUCUUUCUUUUUUGCCAUCUAUCAGAGGCUCCUGCUCCUAGCAGGAUUCACGAGUUAAAAAUCCGGCAAGAGUUUUGUUCUCCGUGAUAAAUUCAUAAUCAAAAUCAAAGCACUAUGUUGUGCUUGCCAUCUUGCCAAAAGUUGUUUAGAACAAGUUUUUUUGACAUCUUUUUGAAAAAUGGUGUCUUGCCGCACUACAAUCAAUUUAAAAUAAGGAAUUUUUUGAAUUAAUAAUGCCAUCCUUAAAUUUUUGAUAACAUUUAACCAAAUAUAACAUUUCCUUUCUUGAUAGUAAAUAGUGAAUUUGUGUUCCUUUCGUAUUCCAGAAUGUACAUCUAGAGUUCUCUGCUUUGUAGAUUACUCGUUUUAAUUUGUGCUCCUUUCCAUAUUUCAGAAAGAAUUAUAUUGAAUUUGGAAGAUUUGAUCCAGAUUUAAUAUAUUUCGAAAAACAACUUAGACAAAUACAGAAUUACAUGGAUCUGAUAAGUUGUUGUUAAUCAACAAGUCCAAGUUCUGUUCCUGACAAGACAAUUCUGUCGGUGCUCAUGUACCUCACAUGCCUCUGUCGGAGCUCGUGAAUCACACGUUUCACUGUGCGGACUUCAAAUUUCUCUUUAGAUUCCAAAUAAAGUUUAUUUUCUGUAUAAAAGGAGGUCUUAUGUCUUAGGGAAGGCAUCCGAAAUCUCUCUCUCUUGUAAGAUAAGAUUACUUCCUCCCUUGUAAGCUACUGAAAUCAAAGGAAUCAAGAGGUAAAUUUUUAAAUUGUUCUGUUUGGUUCUUUUCUAUAUCCUUACGCCUUUUAUUUUUGAUCUUGUAAUAUAUGGUAUCAGAGCCAGGAGAGUAGCUCUUCCUGAUCAAGUUUUUUGAUAAUAAAUCCUGAAUUUCUUUUUUACAAAGCUCAAGAUAUUUCGAAUUCACAUUUGACUUGGUCUGUAUCCUCAGUGGAAUUGUUUUCUUUCUUGAAAUCUUCUUCAUAAGGCAAUAGAACAAUAGCUGGCUUUCCAUCCAAAAGCAUUUGGAGAUACUUACAUUUUGAUUUUUGAAAUCCUUUUCUAUUUCAGAAAUUUUUGAUUUCAAAUGUGUAGAUUUUAAUUUUUUCUCUAUAUCCAUAGAGUAAACUUCAGUUUUUAAGAAUCCCAAAUGUUUUUCUUUUGGAACCAGAAAUUGCUGAAGUUCAUUUAGGAUACGAGUCUCUGGAUCUUGAAUAAAUUCAAAAUUCAGAGUUUGAUUUUUGUAAACACAGUUUAUCCCAUUUUAUCAAUUUUUUGAAUAGGCAUAAUCUGG